UGACCUACGGGAGGCAGCAGUGAGGAAUAUUGGUCAAUGGGCGCGAGCCUGAACCAGCCAAGUCGCGUGAGGGAUGAAGGAUCUAUGGUUCGUAAACCUCUUUUAUAAGGGAAUAAAGUGCGGGACGCGUCCCGCUUCGCAUGUACCUUAUGAAUAAGGAUCGGCUAACUCCGUGCCAGCAGCCGCGGUAAUACGGAGGAUCCGAGCGUUGUCCGGAAUUACUGGGUGUAAAGGGAGCGUAGGCGGGAAGCCAAGUCAGCUGUGAAAACUACGGGCUUAACCUGUAGACUGCAGUUGAAACUGGC
Molecule: ribosomal RNA, 305 nt
Filed under: uncultured bacterium
Lineage: Bacteria
Description: bacterial SSU rRNA
Rfam family: Bacterial small subunit ribosomal RNA
Source: RNAcentral